UGAGGAAUAUUGGGUCAAUGGGGCGAGAGCCUGAACCAGCCAAGUCGCGUGAAGGAUGAAGGUUCGAUGGAUUGUAAACUUCUUUUAUGGGGGAAUAAAGUGCGGGACGCGUCCCGUUUUGUAUGUACCUCAUGAAUAAGCAUCGGCUAACUCCGUGCCAGCAGCCGCGGUAAUACGGAGGAUGCGAGCGUUAUCCGGAUUCAUUGGGUUUAAAGGGUGCGUAGGUGGCCUUUUAAGUCAGCGGUGAAAGUUUGUGGCUCAACCCGGUGUCGCCGUUGAAACUGGCGUGCUCGAGUGCGUGCGAGGAAGGCGGAAUGCGUUGUGUAGCGGUGAAAUGCAUAGAUAUGACGCAGAACUCCGAUUGCGAAGGCAGCUUUCCAG
RNAcentral lists this ribosomal RNA (381 nucleotides) under uncultured Parabacteroides sp. Its description in RNAcentral is "bacterial SSU rRNA". It matches the Rfam family "Bacterial small subunit ribosomal RNA", at positions 355 to 732 of the family's 1533-position model. Lineage: Bacteria; Pseudomonadati; Bacteroidota; Bacteroidia; Bacteroidales; Tannerellaceae. The record is from RNAcentral.